RNAcentral lists this ribosomal RNA (301 nucleotides) under uncultured bacterium. RNAcentral describes it as "partial 16S ribosomal RNA". It matches the Rfam family "Bacterial small subunit ribosomal RNA", at positions 509 to 807 of the family's 1533-position model. The record is from RNAcentral.
CAGCAGCCACGGGAACACGGAGGGGGCUAGCGUUGUUCGGAAUUACUGGGCGUAAAGCGCACGUAGGCGGCUUGGUAAGUUAGAGGUGAAAGCCUGGAGCUCAACUCCAGAAUUGCCUUUAAGACUGCCGAGCUAGCAGGUGAGAGAGGUAAGUGGAAUUCCGAGUGUAGAGGUGAAAUUCGUAGAUAUUCGGAAGAACACCAGUGGCGAAGGCGGCUUACUGGCUCAUACUGGACGCUGAGGUGCGAAAGCGUGGGGAGCAAACAGGAUUAGAUACCCCAGUAGUCCCUGUCUCUUAUAC